GCAAAACCACAGAGAGAAGGGAGCAGGCAGCUAGCUGUGCAGCUGGUGAAUCCCUGCCUGCUCCUUGCUUGGAGCCUGCAGUCAUCUGCUCAGGCAGAUUUCCACUUAGCACUCUGAUUUCUGUGUCCAAUCGAUUGGCCACUCUUUGUGCCACGUUAUAGUACAUGACUGAGGCUUGACCUUGAAGCCAGCCAGCCAUGAAAACUUCUGUCUUUCAUUGUCAUUUUGAACUUAGCAAAAGGUUGGCAGAGGAGAAAAAACACCAAAUCAUUUUGCUAAAGUAACAUCAUUAGUGAUGCUACUUCUUUGCAUUAAAUCCUGCACUUAUUAAUAUGAUAAUAGUACCACUCCCUUCCAUUUGUGGAUUAUUUUAUGUUUUACAAAGCACUUUCAAAGUCAUUAUCUUAUUUGGUACUCCAAAUGCAAUUAUGAGAUGAAAGAAGAUUAUUGUCCCCAGGAAACUGAGGCUCGGAUUGGUUUAUGAGCUUGCCUUCCAGAAAUCACCAGGCAGUGGGGAAGAGAAUGGAGAUGGAUGCUCUUUUUCUUGUUAGUGGUGAUAUUGACAGUUCAAUAGACUUGCUGACACCACAGCAAUGUGCCCUGUUCCAGACAGACAUUGUGAUUCCUUACCAAGUAAGAUUCUUGAGGUCUGGCGAGAAUGAUAUGGGUACUAAAGUGCGUAGUUGAGCAUGCACCAAAGUUUAGAAAGGUGUGAAAGUAGUAAAUGAACAAAGCCAACAAAAACCAGCAAAAGCAAACGGAGGGAAAUAAGCUAGAAAGUGUGCUUUCAGUUAUUCUCUCUCUCUCUCUCUCCCUCUUUCUCCCCACCCCCAAACGCUGUUUAGUUUUUCCCUAGUGAAGCUCACAUUCCACAGGGAGGAAUUUACAAAGGCCAUCCAGGGAAGAGUCUGCAGGCAGUGCUUGUUGGAUUUACUCCUGGAAGGUCACCUCCAGGUCACCCUACCUGUCUGCUUCCUUUGGACAGGCUUUCCAAGUCCCUGCCUGUGACAAGGUAGAAUGCAGACACGUGGCUAACCACAACUCAAUUAUCUGCAAACCUUAUUUAGGCUCCAGUUCCAUGUGCUUGGGGUUGCCAU
RNAcentral lists this long non-coding RNA (1097 nucleotides) under Marmota monax (woodchuck). The record is from RNAcentral. Lineage: Eukaryota; Metazoa; Chordata; Mammalia; Rodentia; Sciuridae.